AUCCAGAUGACGAGUCCCAAAUAGGAUGAAAUGCGCAUUUUUGAU
RNAcentral lists this non-coding RNA (45 nucleotides) under Trichobilharzia regenti. Lineage: Eukaryota; Metazoa; Platyhelminthes; Trematoda; Strigeidida; Schistosomatidae. The record is from RNAcentral.